CAAUCAUGUUAUCCUACUGUUAUCUAUUUUAGAACAAUAUUUGUAAGAAAACCAUGUGAGUGUUGAUCAGUUUGUGGGUAUCCGUGUAAUGAUCAUGGAGUUGUGCAUCACACUAAUAACCAUGGUACUUUUGCUGAUAAUCAUUCAAGAGAUGAUGGCAUUUCUCACAGUGGUGUAGAUGGUGGAGUGCUGCAAGAAUUCAGGUAGAUCGAUGGGUCCUGCAUUGAUGAAACUGAACAAAGUUAGUUGCAUGGUCCUAAUGGGGUAAGUGUGCCCAUAAUCACCUUUGUCAUAAUCUGAUUUUCAGGUUCCUAUCAAGAAAUCAUGAUAAACCUCAUAAUGACCAUUAACAGACCUAUUCUUGCAUCCAGGUUCAUGUAAGACGUCAUGGGGAGCAUAUCAGUCACGGCAAAUGAGGCACAUAGCAGGUAUUGAGGUAAGUGAUGAUACGAGUCUGAACCACAGCACAGACCAUCUGAUCUUACAUGUAGGUAAGUGAUUGUGUCCCUAAUACUUCUUGUUACUAUGAUUUUGUUUCAGGUAUUCAGGUAAGAAGUGAUAGUCCUUACCAAAUCUAGUGAUCAUGCCUUUACACGUUUUACAUUUUAUUUUUUAAAUUUAUUUAUUUGAGAGAGAGAUCGAGAACACGUGAGCACAUCGGUGAGAUGAGCAGAGGAAGAGUCUCAAGCAGGGGCUUGAUCCCACGAUCCUGAGAUCCUGAGAUCACAACUCUAGCUGAAACCAAGAGUUGGACGCUUAACCAACUGUACCACCCAGGUGCCCCUACACUUUUUACGUUUUAGAGAUAACACGUUUAACCCUGUGAGUGUUGAGAGUUGAUUGUAUCUGUAAUUGUCAAGUUCCCACCCCAGUUGUAACCACAGUAUUUUUGCAGGAGUCCAGUUCAGACACCGUGGCUUUCUUCUGACAAAGGUGUUCACCUGAAUUAAUGCAAGUAUCAGGAUAGAGUUGAUGUGUUCCAUAAUAACAGAAGUAAAAAGGUGUUCUGGUGGAGUAAGUCAUGUCCUUAAACAUACUUAUCCUAUGUAUUUCUUCAGUUUCCUGUCAAGAAAACACGGUCAACCUAAUAGUGCUUGUCAAUGGAAACUUGCUCUUAACCAGGCACAUGACAUCUUGUCACAUUGUAAACCAUCUGAUCUUCAAUAUGAAGGUAUCCCUUCAGGAGAAGUCGAUGUGUCUUCCCAGGGUUUGACCUUGGAGUCCUGCAAUUAAGUAUCCAGGUUGUGUUGACGGCUUCUGAAACGAUAGACGACCAAGAGAAUUUGCAAGGUGGAGGUAGAAUAAUUCCUGUACCAAAAACAUUUUCCACGAUGUGUUUUUUCAGGUUAAUGUCAAAACCUCAUGCUGAGUUUAUCAAUGAUAAUUUGUGUAGGAUAUUGCUGGUAUGGAGGGAAGGGAUCUGGUGGCUCAAAAGCGCAGUACAUGCCAUCUGGCCUUCAUAUACCUAGGUAAGUGAUGAGUGUACUUACACUUCUUGUUACCAUGAAUUUUUUUGAAGGUAUGAGGUAAGAAAUGAUAGAGUCCUUAUGAAUUCCUGAGACCAUGUUUCUCUACUUUCUAUGUUUCUGAAAAAUGUUCAUUUUAACCCUCUGAAUGUUGACAGACUGCAUGGAUAUAGGUAUUUAUAUCAUGAUAUUCUCCAUGAUAGUACAAUCCAUAGGAUAACUGUAAUAGAAUAACAGUGUUCUCUGACAUUGGUAUUAACUUUGAAGUAUGGUAAGUUUCCAGUAGAGUUGAUGGCGUCUCAUAAUGAUGAAGUGAACAACGUUAUUUGCAGGUUUCCUGAUGGGAAAAAGUUAUGUCCUUUAACACACAUUCAUAAUGUCUUUCCAGUCAAGAAAUUGGGAUGAACCUAACACUGCUCAUCAGUGGGGAUAUUCCUUGUGUGUAGGUGAGUGAUGAUGUGGGCCUAGCCCUGAUCUCUAUAUAGCUGGCUAAGUGAUGAAAGUUUCCUUGGCAAUUGUUACCAUUUUUCUUUGUAGGUAUUCAGGUAGGAAAUGAUAGUCUUUACCAAUUCUAGAAACCAUGCAUUUUUUAGAGAAAAUUCAUUUUAUCCCUGUGAGUAAUGAGGGAUUGCUGCAUCCAGGUAAUUAUCAUCAUGUUCCUACCAGUAACCAUGGAAAUUUUGCAGGUGUUUCAUUAUGAAAUGUCAUAUCUCAUAAUGGACUUGACCUUGGAGUACUGCAGGUAUUCAGAUGGAAUUGAUGUUCUCAUAAUGAGAGAAGUGUUCAAGUUAAUUGCUUUGAGGGGUCAUGCUACAAGUACUGGUUUUUUACACGUAUAUCAUGCGUUUUUCAGCUUCCCAUCAAGAGAUCAAGAUGAAAUUCAUGGUUAAUGGGGCAUUUCUGGUAUCCAGAUAAGUGAUGAUGUAUACCUUCACCACAUGAGACCAACUGACAUCCACAUACCCAGAGAAUUUACCAUGUGAUUUAUUUCAGGUUUUCAGGUGAGCAAGGAAGAGAUGAUGGUGUGAUGACAAUGGCAUAGACUUUGGAGUACCGCAAGAAUCCAGGUACUCAGUUAAGAAAUGAUACUGUCCCAAGAACAACCUUAAUUUGUUCUGGAGUUCACAUAUCAUGUAUGCUUACCCUGAGUGAUAACAGAAAGAUACGAAGAUGUGCAGAUGAGUUGUCAUCCUGUUCCACACCACAGUGUUGACCAGGAGAUUUCUACAGGUGCUCAGAGAUGAUAUGUCUAACACCGAUGUUGACGUUGAAGUUUUGAAAGAUCAGGUAAAACAAACUGUGUCAUUCAGGCCCUAAACACUUAUUUUUUAAGUUUCCAGAAGUCAUGACAUCAUACUGAACCUAACCAUGGUUGUGAAUUGGACCUCGAUAGUAAGCAGGUAUGUGAUAAAGUGGGUCUUACCCCAGUACAGAUCACUUGAUCUUCACAUAUCUAGGUAAGUGAGGAUGGUGUCUCUCAGCACAGUGUUACCAUGUUUUUUUGCAGGUAUCCUGUUAAGGCCUUUGCUAGUGUACAGGUAGGAGGUGAUGUGAUGGUCACUCAUCAGAGACAUUCUCAAUUUCAGUAACUACAAAAUUAUUGUUUUUGAGACUUCUUAUAUUUACCUAGUUUUUGUCAUUAUGUAGUUAAGAAAUUACUUUGUCUCUAGUAAUACUAGUAAGGAUGAGAUUUUUCCAUUCUUCUUUAGAUAAUAUGUAUUUAAUGCUAAUGAAAGAGGAGUAUGUGUAAUUUAUUAUGUUGUACUCCUUGCAGGUACCCUUGCAGGUGUACCCUUCAAGAAAAGAAGGUGUCUCUUCUUAGGGUUUGACCUCGGUGUUCUGCAAGCAAGUAUCCAGGUACUGCUAAUGGAUCCCAAAAUGAUACAAGUGACCAAGGGAAUUUGAAGGUGUGGAGGUAAAAUGAGACAUGUACUACAGUACGUUUUAAGAUUUGUGUCAACACAUCACAGGAGGUAAACCUAUCAAUGGUAGUUAAUGUUGGACAUCGUUGUAUGGAGGUGGGUGAUGCUGUGGGCCUACAGCACAGCAUAGACCAGUUAACGUUUAUGUAUUUAUGUAGGUGAUCUGUUCCUCACACAUUUUUUUGCAGGUAGCCAGGUAAGAAAUUAUAGAAACUUUAUAAAUUCUAGCAACCACAUUAUCCUACUCUUUAACAUGUUAGAGGAAAUUAUGUUUGACCACAUGAUUAUUGAGCAAUUUACAGUUAUCCACAUAAUUAUAAUUGAGCUGUGAGUAACAGUAAUAGCCUUGCUUGGUAUUUUUCAGAAGAGCAGUCAAAAGAGAUGAUGAUGUCUCUAACAGUGGAAUAGAUCUUAGAGUACCACAAGCUUCCAGGCAAAGUUGAUGGGUUCUGCCGUGAUGGCAGUGAACGGGGUUAUUUUUAGCGUCCAAGUAUAGAAGGUGUAACUAUAGACUCAUUUGCCACAAUGUGUUUUCCAGGGUCCUGUCAAGAGAUCGUGGUGAACCUCCUAAUGAUCAUUAAAGGGACAUUGCUUGUAUCAGGUUCCGGUACUCAUGAGAUCGUGAUGAACUUGACAGUGAUCGUUAAUAGGACCUUAUUGGCAACCAAGUAAGUGAUAAAGUGGGUCUUACCUCAGUACAGACCAUCUGAUCUUCAGAUAUCUUUUGUUUGUUUGUUUUUAUUCAUGAGAGAGGCAGAGACACAGGCAGCGGGAGAAGCAGGCUCCCUAUGGGGAGCCCAAUGUGGGACUCGAUCCCAGGACCCCGGGAUCACAACCUGAGCCAAAGGCAGACGCUCAACCACUGAGCCACCCAGGCGUCCCUGAUCUUAAGAUAUCUGAGUGAGUAUGGUUUACCUAACACAGCGUCACCUAGUUGUUUUGCACGUGUCCUUUCCUUUCCUAAUAUGCAGGUGUGAGAAUAUAUAGUAUUAACUCAUUAGAGACCUGCUUGUUUUUCAUAUGUGAAUGGGGUUUUCAAGACUCUAUAUUAACUCUGUUUUUGGCAUGUAAGCAGUUCAGAAAUUAAUUUGGCCCAAAUAGUACUCAUAAGUAUGAAAUUUUACUGUGUUCUUAUUCAGAGAUUAUAUGUUUUAUACACCCAGAGUGGUGGAUAGGCAGAGAUCCAGGUAAUUUAUCAUAUUAUCCAUCACCACAUUAUUGCCCAUGAAAUUUUUGCAGGUAUCCUUUCAACAGAGGAAGGUAUCUCUCUCCUUUUAUUUUUUUUUUAAUAUUUUAUUUGUUUAUUCAUGAGAGACACAGAGGGAGAGGCAGAGACAUAGGCAGAGGGACAAGCAGGCUCCCUGCAGGGAGCUGGAUGCGGGACUCCAUCCCAGGACUCCGGGGUCAUGACCUGAGCCGAAGGCAGACGCUCCAACCACUGAGUCACCCAGGCACCCCAGGAAGAUGUCUCUUAUUAGGGUAGCAACCUCAGAGUUCUGCAAUUAUCCAGGUUCAUGUGAAGACCUCACUGCAAGCCUUUCAGUGGUAGUUAACAAUGUGCACAUAUCAGAUAUUAAGGUAAGUGAUGAUGUGGGCCUAAACCACGAAACAGGUCAUAUGCUCUUCAAACACAUAGGUAAGUGGUGAUACUGUGUCUAACACUUGUUACCAUAUAUUUUUGCAGGUAUCCCUCUCGGGUCUUUGACAGUACAUAGGUUUAUACGUGGUAUAAUAUUAAGUCAUUAUAGAUAUUCUUGCUCAAGUCCCCUACCUCCCUUGUUUUUGGCAAGUCUAAGUUAUGUUAGUUGGACUCUGAUAAUACUAGCAAGCGGUAGUUUUGUUUUUGUUUUUGUUUUUUUUUAAAGAUUUUAUUUAUUCAUGAGAGAGGGAGAAGCAGGCUCCAUGCAGGGAACCUGAUGCGAGACUGGAUCCAAGGACUCCAGGAUCAUGCCCUGAGCCAAAGGCAGAUGCUCAACCGCUGAGCCACCCAGGCGUCCCGCAAAUAAUAGUUUUUAUUGUUUUCUUGUAUGGCGAUAAAGUGUAUUUCUCACUCAUAGUGGCAGACAAAUGGCAAAUAUCCAGGUCCUUUAUCAUAUUGUUUGAACCACAUUAUUAUUAUUAACCAUGGAGUAUUUGCAGGUAUCCCUCCAAGAGGAAGAUAAACCUUACUAGUGUUUAACCUUAGAGUUCUGGAAGAGUCCAGGUAAUGUUUAUGGGUCCCCAGAUGAUACAAGCGACAAGGGAAUUUGCAGAUGCACGGAUAGAAUGAGACAUAUACCAAACACAUAAACCACAUAUGUUUUUCAGGACACCCCAAGAAAUCACAUGAACCUAUCCAUACCAGUGAAUGGGCAGACAUUGCCGAUAUUGAGGUAAGUGAUGCUCUAGGCCUAAACCACAAAUAUUUGGAUAAGUAGUAAUACGUGUUGACACUUUUUGUUGCCAUAAUUUUGUUGCAGGUAUUCAGGUAAAAAAUAAGAAUCCUUACCAAUUCUAGAAACUAUAAAUUUUUGCUUUUUACAUUUUAGAUCAAAUCUCUUUAACACUAUGCCUGUUAGGAGGUUAUUGGUAUACAGGUAUUUAUCAUGGUUUUCCCCACCACAGUACUACCCAUGUAAUUUUUACAAGUGUCCAGUCAAGAAAUGAUAGUUUUCUGGCAUUGGUGUUGACCUUGGAGUACUGUAAGUAUCCAGGUAGUAUUGUAAGUAUCCAGAGUUGGUAUGUCUCAUAGUGAUGAAGUGACCAAGGUUAUUUGCAGGUGUCCUGGCAGAAAAAGUUAUGUCCCUUAACAUAUGUUUCAUAACAUUUUUUUCAGAUUCCUAUCAAGAGAUCCCAGUGAACCUAACAUUGGUUGUUAACGGGGGCAGGGAUGUUGCUGGUAUGCAGGAAAGGGAAGAUACAGGCCUAAAUCAUUACACAGACCAUCCAAUCUCCAGAUAGCUAGGUAAGUGAUGAUGGUGUCCCUAACACUUGUUAUCAUGAUUUCUUUAGGGGCAUUCAUUCAGGUAGGAGAUGAUAUAGAUCCCUUGCUUGUAUAGAAACCAUGAGUUACCAUUUUCUAUUUUAGAGAACAUUUUUAUUUAUCUCUGUGAGUGUUGAGUAAUAUCAUAUCUAGGCAAUUAUGAUAAUGUUUCCUGCCACAGUAAUGACCAUGGGAAUUUUGCAGGUGUCCUGUUAGGAAAUGUCUCACCUGACUAUGAUCUUGACCUUGGAGUACUACAAGUAUUCUGGUACAGUUGAUGUUUUACAGUGAUGAAAGUGAUAAAGAUUAUUUGCAGAUGUCCUGGUAGAACAAGUUGUGUUAUUUUACACAUAUAUCAUAAUGUGUUUUUCAGGUUCAUGUCCCUAAUGUUUAUUUUUUUAAGAUUUUAUUUAUUUAUCCAUGAGAGACACAGAGAGACAGAGACACAGGCAGAGGGAGAAGCAGGCUCCCUGUGGGGAGCCAGAUAAGGGACUGGAUCCCAGGACCCCGGGAUCGUGACCUGAGCUGAAAGCAGACGCUCAACCACUGAGCCACCCAGGUGCCUGAACCUAAUGAUCAUUAACAGGAGACAUUUCUGGUAUCCAGGUAAGUGAUGUUACGCACCUUCAUCACAUCACAGACCAUCUAGUCUUUAUAUACUGACAUAAGUGACAUCUGUUCUUCUUUGACCAUGGGAUUCUUUUGGGUAGGUUUUCAGGUAAGUAAUGAUAAUAUUUUACCAGUUGUAGAAACCAUGUUAUCCUACUGUUUUAUAUUUUAGAAAAAAAUGUAUGUUUAACCAUGUGAGUGUUGAGCAAUUUGCAGAUAUCCAUGUAAUUAUUAUGAAGUGAAAAUCAUAAUAGUACCAUGGUUUGGGGUUUUUUUGUGUGUGUUUUGUUUGUGUGUGUGUGAUUAUUUGCAGGUGAGCAUUCAACAGACAAUGCCGUCUCUAACAAUGAGAUAGACCUACCUAAGAUUCUAGGUACACUUAAUGACUCCUGCAGUGAUGCUAGUGAUAAGAUUAUUAUCAAGGUCCAGGUAAUAAAGGUGUGUCCUGACACAUAUGUCAAAAUGUGUUUUUCAGGUAAUUGUUAAGAAACCAUGGUAAUCCUCAUAAUGAUCAUUAAAAGGAUUUUGUUUGUAUCCAGGUAAGUGAUAAUGAUAGCCUUUUCCAUGCUAUAGGCCAUCUAAUAUUCAGGUAUUUAGGUACGUAUGGAUAGUGUUCCUAACCUUGUGUUGCUAUGUUGCUAUCAAAUCUACAGCUAUCGUUAGUUGAAAAUCAUCUCUUGAUUUGUGUUUUUGCAAAUAUCCACUCAAGAGGAGAUCAUGUCUCUAUUCAAAGUCUUGUCCCUGGAUUUUUGCAAGUAUCUGGAUAGGUUUUAUGGUUCCCUUUAAGUCUGCAGUAUUCAGUAGAUUUUCAGGGGCCCAUGUUAUGAAUUAUCGUUAAACACUGUUCUCUCUUUGGCUUUUGUAGAUUCCAGUUAAGAGAUUGUUGAUGAGAACCUCCGUGUGUAUUGAAGGCAAAAUUUUAUUUGCACCAAGUACAAGAUAAUCCAUUUGUACUAAAGUUAGAGCUCAUGAGAUUUUGUACAUACCCAGGUAGACAAUGUUGGUGUUCUGAAGCCAACAUAGUGGCCAUAUUUACUUGCAUUUGUAAGUUGUAAGCAGUGAUCAGGGAAAUUUUGCAGAUAUGCUGUCACACUAUGAAGGUGUCUGUAACUAAGGUAUUUUUUGGAAAUUUAUAGAUGUCCAGAUAAGAGAUGAUGGUGCCCUGAAACAAGAUAAUGACCUUGAGAUUUUGCAGUUAUUCAAGCAAGAGAUGACCUAUCCCUACUGUGAUCUCGAUCCUGCACCUUUCUAGGUAUUCAGAUUUUUUAGAUAUUCUGGGAAAAGAUGAUGGUGUUCUGACAAUACAGAUGACCGUAGGAUUUUGCACAUAUCCAGUCAAGAGAUGAUGGCAUAUCUAUCAACAUUGGUGUUUGUGGAAAAGAAAGAAAUGGAAUGCUUUUUUUGAUCAGUUGUAUAAUUUGUUAAAAGAAUUUUAACAUUCAAUGACUAGUAAAUAUUAUUCAUGGUCGUA
This is a long non-coding RNA of Canis lupus familiaris (dog), 8430 nucleotides long. RefSeq lists it as uncharacterized. The record is from RefSeq and is a predicted model, not a curated record. The transcript has 9 exons. NCBI's taxonomy places the organism in Eukaryota, Metazoa, Chordata, Mammalia, Carnivora, Canidae.